This 492-nucleotide ribosomal RNA is filed under the name uncultured bacterium. RNAcentral's name for it is "partial 16S ribosomal RNA". It matches the Rfam family "Bacterial small subunit ribosomal RNA", at positions 29 to 507 of the family's 1533-position model. The record is from RNAcentral.
AGUGAACGCUGGCGGUAGGCCUUACACAUGCAAGUCGAACGGCAGCACGGUAGCGUCCAGCUGUUACGGAUGGCGGGUGGCGGACGGGAGAGAUCUACACAGGUCCCUAAUUUUUCGUGAGGGCUACCGUAGCGAAACUUACACUACUAACGCAUAACACAUACGGGCGGAAGCAGGGCAUCUUUGGACCUUGCGCGUUUGCCUGUGCCGAUGUCGGAUUAGCUAGUUGGCGGGGUAAAGGCCGACCAAGGCGACGAUCCGUAGCUGGUCUGAGAGGAUGAUCAGCCACACUGGAACUGAGACACGGUCCAGACUCCUACGGGAGGCAGCAGUGGGGAAUAUUGGACAAUGGGCGCAAGCCUGAUCCAGCCAUACCGCGUGUGUGAAGAAGGCCUUCGGGUUGUAAAGCACUUUUGUUGGGAAAGAAAAGCAUCAGGUUAAUACGGUGCUGUGAUGACGGUACCCGAAGAAUAAGCACCGGCUAACUACGUG